GACGAACGCUGGCGGCGUGCUUAACACAUGCAAGUCGAACGGUGAAAGCGGAGCUUGCUCCGCUGGAUCAGUGGCGAACGGGUGAGUAACACGUGGGCAACCUGCCCCUCACUUCGGGAUAACUCCGGGAAACCGGGGCUAAUACCGGAUAUGACCUCCUUGGGCAUCCUUGGAGGUGGAAAGUUUUUCGGUGAGGGAUGGGCCCGCGGCCUAUCAGCUUGUUGGUGAGGUAGUGGCUCACCAAGGCGACGACGGGUAGCCGGCCUGAGAGGGCGACCGGCCACACUGGGACUGAGACACGGCCCAGACUCCUACGGGAGGCAGCAGUGGGGAAUAUUGCGCAAUGGGCGAAGGCCUGACGCAGCAACGCCGCGUGCGGGAUGACGGCCUUCGGGUUGUAAACCGCUUUCAGCAGGGAAGAAGCCGCAAGGUGACGGUACCUGCAGAAGAAGCACCGGCUAACUACGUGCCAGCAGCCGCCGCAG
RNAcentral lists this ribosomal RNA (485 nucleotides) under uncultured bacterium. Its description in RNAcentral is "partial 16S ribosomal RNA". It matches the Rfam family "Bacterial small subunit ribosomal RNA", at positions 28 to 523 of the family's 1533-position model. The record is from RNAcentral.